GGAAUAUUGGUCAAUGGGCGCUAGCCUGAACCAGCCAAGUAGCGUGAAGGAUGACUGCCCUAUGGGUUGUAAACUUCUUUUAUAUGGGAAUAAAGUUUGGUAUGUAUACCAUUUUGUAUGUACCAUAUGAAUAAGGAUCGGCUAACUCCGUGCCAGCAGCCGCGGUAAUACGGAGGAUCCGAGCGUUAUCCGGAUUUAUUGGGUUUAAAGGGUGCGUAGGCGGGAUGCCAAGUCAGCGGUCAAAUACGGGGGCUCAACCUGCGUCCGCCGUUGAAACUGGCGUUCUUGAGUGGGCGAGAAGUACGCGGAAUGCGUGGUGUAGCGGUGAAAUGCAUAGAUAUCACGCAGAACCCCGAUUGCGAAGGCAGCCUUCCGGCGCCCUACUGACGCUGAGGCACGAAAGUGCGGGGAUCGAACAG
Molecule: ribosomal RNA, 419 nt
Filed under: uncultured bacterium
Lineage: Bacteria
Description: bacterial SSU rRNA
Rfam family: Bacterial small subunit ribosomal RNA
Source: RNAcentral